GGGGAUGUAGUUAAAAAUAACAUCUAAUUUGCAAUUAGAAAGUACUUUAUUAGUCUUCCUCA
Molecule: transfer RNA, 62 nt
Filed under: Triatoma rubrofasciata (large kissing bug)
Lineage: Eukaryota; Metazoa; Arthropoda; Insecta; Hemiptera; Reduviidae
Description: tRNA-Ala
Rfam family: tRNA
About the family: Transfer RNA (tRNA) molecules are approximately 80 nucleotides in length.
Source: RNAcentral